RNAcentral lists this ribosomal RNA (460 nucleotides) under uncultured bacterium. RNAcentral's name for it is "bacterial SSU rRNA". It matches the Rfam family "Bacterial small subunit ribosomal RNA", at positions 29 to 524 of the family's 1533-position model. The record is from RNAcentral.
AACGAACGCUGGCGGCAUGCCUAACACAUGCAAGUCGAACGGGAUCCAGGCUUCGGCCUGGUGAGAGUGGCGGACGGGUGAGUAACGCGUGGGAACCUGCCCAAUGGUCUAGGAUAACCGCGGGAAACUGCGGCUAAUACCGGAUAAGCCCGAGAGGGGAAAGAUUUAUCGCCGAUGGAGGGGCCCGCGUCAGAUUAGGUAGUUGGUGGGGUAAUGGCCUACCAAGCCUACGAUCUGUAGCUGGUCUGAGAGGAUGAUCAGCCACACUGGGACUGAGAUACGGCCCAGACUCCUACGGGAGGCAGCAGUGGGGAAUAUUGGACAAUGGGGGCAACCCUGAUCCAGCAAUGCCGCGUGAGUGAUGAAGGCCUUAGGGUUGUAAAGCUCUUUUGCCAGGGACGAUGAUGACGGUACCUGGAGAAUAAGCCCCGGCUAACUUCGUGCCAGCCGCCGCCGUAAU